GGGAAUGUGGCUUAGUGGUAGAGUGCUUGCCUAGCAUGCAUGAAGCCCUGGGUUCGAUUCCUUAAUACCA
RNAcentral lists this transfer RNA (70 nucleotides) under Dipodomys ordii (Ord's kangaroo rat). It matches the Rfam family "tRNA". Rfam says of the family: Transfer RNA (tRNA) molecules are approximately 80 nucleotides in length. Their secondary structure includes four short double-helical elements and three loops (D, anti-codon, and T loops). Further hydrogen bonds mediate the characteristic L-shaped molecular structure. tRNAs have two regions of fundamental functional importance: the anti-codon, which is responsible for specific mRNA codon recognition, and the 3' end, to which the tRNAs corresponding amino acid is attached (by aminoacyl-tRNA synthetases). tRNAs cope with the degeneracy of the genetic code in two manners: having more than one tRNA (with a specific anti-codon) for a particular amino acid; and 'wobble' base-pairing, i.e. permitting non-standard base-pairing at the 3rd anti-codon position. The record is from Rfam by way of RNAcentral. Lineage: Eukaryota; Metazoa; Chordata; Mammalia; Rodentia; Heteromyidae.